GGAUUGCAGCGAGAUUAGAUUGGCUCUCUCCGAUGAAAAUAUCUCCCCCCUCUCUCCCUGGUCCACUUCUCCGUGCUGCUGCCGCCGACGCCUCCGCUUCCCCCGUUCCUCGCGGCCGCCUCGUCCCCUCCGCCUUCAGCAGCUCCUCCUCCCCCAUCCUCUCCGCCUCCAGCACCUCCUCCUCCCCUUCCUCUCCUCCUCCCCUGCCCCCGAAGCUAGACCACGUGACGUGGAUAAGGAGAGGCAGGCGGUUCUCCUUCCAUGGCGGCACCCCGACCUUCCGGAUCUUUCUCUUCGUCAGUCCGGCGGAGAGGAGUGGUAGAUUCGUCUCCUCUUGGGCAUCAUCGGCCAGAGAAGUUAUUUUUUUCAUCUAGGCCGACGGAUGGGGUAGGCGAAGAGGAGUGGCGGAUCCGCCUCGAUUGCGCUCUCCUUCGUUAUGCCCGCGUUGCUUCCAUUCUUGCGCUAGUGCUGCUGCUAUGGAGGGCUUGGUUUAAGGCAGAACUGAAAUCUCCCACGCGGUGGCAGCCAUGAGUAACGGCACGAUCUGGAGGGGAGUAGCAAUGGCGGCCUCUUCUUCUUCGCGCUUGGUGGCCUUGCGCAGCUCCGCCUCUUUUCCCGCCUCCAUCCCACGCGUGCAGCAUCCACACGCGUGCAGCAUCCACAUGAAGGCAAGCGAGCACACAUGAAAUAGACAUAUCAAGUGGAUUUUCUCUCACCUCAACGCUUACUGAAUUCAGUACCCGAAGAAGCCUAUUAUGCCACUCAUUUUGUACCACCAGUGUAAACAUUGAGAACUAUAUGAAUUGAUGCACCUUGUGGUCGGAAAAGAGGCUCUUGAUUGUGUGGAUAUUUUGCAGCUUUAGAAUUAUUUUAUUCUCGCCUUAUGGCAUCAAGGAGCACAACAUGGAUUGGAAAUAAAUGCCUUUUCCACAAGCCAACUGACUACAUAAAUUCUGGUGGUACCUGCCCGCCAACUCCAAAGCCUGUUCAAUUAAAAGUGGCUGCUCAACUUGGCCUCCUGUAGCACCUCAACCCUCACUUGCUACCUUCGCCCUGUCCACAUGCUUAAUUUAAACUAUCUUUCGUCUUAUGGUGCCCAUUGGAAAUCAUUUGUUGUAGUAUUAUUAUUCGCAGAUUCUUCACAUUAUCUACUUGACUUUGUGUGCAUGCUUAAUUCAAAUAUCUUUCAUGUUAUUGUCAAUUGUUUUCUAGCUAUAUAAUUAUCGGUCUUUUUAGUUUAAGUAGACCAUUACAUGUACAUAUGCAGUUCAGAGUUAUGACCUUAUAUGAAAAAUGUUGUUGCAUAGUGGACUCUAUUGGACCCACCUGUUGCAUGGUUUAUAUAAAUUAGAUACACUAAUUGCUGCUGUGCCAAAAUUACAGACGCCAUUUUGCCUUGCUGCAAGGACCACUUUAUAAAAAUCAAGGAUUGUUUGCAUGUAUGAUUCUUCAGGUCUGAUGUAAUGUGCACAACUCAUGCUGGCAGAGAAUAAAGGAGGGUUGUGGUUUCUGGAUGUUGAGACCUCCAGUUUUGGGGAAUGGUAAACUUUAAUUUGGAGAUGGUGUUCUCUAAUGUAUUUGUACAGUUAGAUAUCAUAUUAGAUUUUUUUCUCUUACUUGGAACUCCUGCCACGGAAAUCAUGUUGUCUUUGAUUUGGUGUGGUAGGUAUAUAAAAUAUACUGGCCGACUUCCUCCUCUCACGAACCACACUGACGCUAACUUUUGGUUUCUACCAUGUACAAGGGUUAUUUACUAUGGACGAAUAUGGAACGUCCAUUAGGAGUACAUGCUUUAUGACGCUAUGUCUCUGCUACAGUUAUGACACUGUUGUUGUACCUUCUACUACAUCUAUUUGAUGUAUAUGCUUUUGUAGAAUACUUGUUCCUGUAUUAUAUACUAAAUUUUCUUGUAUACUACUCCCUCCGUUCCUAAAUAUUUGUCUUUCUAGACAUUUCAAUAAGUGACUACAUACGGAGCAAAAUGAAUGAAUCUACACUCUAAAAUAUGUCUACAUACAUCCGUAUGUGGUAGUCUAUUUGAAAUGUCUAGAAAGACAAAUAUUUAGGAACGGAGGGAGUACAUGGCAUGGCUAUAAUUAGUAGCUGCACUACACUCCUGAAGCUUUUUUUAACUGUUGGGAGACACAGAAGUUUUUCAACCUUCAUUAAGUUUACAUAUAAAGAACUCUUCACUUUGAAGAUUUGAAAAGUUAUGUCAUGUGAUACAACCCUCGUUUCUAAAUGUGCUAUGAAAGUGUCUGAACCUGCAUUUUAUCUCAGAAUGGCAAAAUCACACCAAUAGAUCAUCAUUCAAACUAAACUGGACUUGAUUUCAUCCAUGCGCAAAACCUCCGUCGGGAAUUUAGCUCAUGGCUAAUCAAAUAGGUGAUUAUCCUUAGACUGUGUAGAGUACUGGAAAAUAGGAAAACACUAAAUAAUUAUUUUUGGGAACAUACCUUCAGUUUGAAGUUUUGCCAUGGUGUUCCGCCAUUCAGGCAGGGUGGAGGCGGCACACACGGGCACCUCUGCUAGGCAGUCCACAGGAUGAUGGUGUGAUGCAUACGAGGAUAGUAGCGACGCCGGUGGAACCCCUCCCGGUCGAGUCCCCCACCCUGGUGGCUGCCUACACAAGGGGAUAGCUCGAGUGACCUCUCCCAGUUGGAGAUGCCGACACAGCUUCAGGUUUGACACAAAUAUGACAUCAACUGUGGCAGACGCGGUCUCCUCAAGCCAUGCCUUCCUCGGUGCCGACAGAUCUUACCACCAUCACCACCAUUGGGGGAGGCCCCUAAUUGAGAUGCAUCUCCGCCAGAUCGAGAGGCGACUGACCACACUAGAUCUAGAUUCUGGCAUAUUGAUUCAGAUUCUGGAUCAAUAUCAGGUGCCAGUGAUGUCGCUGAUGCGCUACUUCUAUUAUGCAACAAAGCAGGUCAUCUUAAAGGUUGCUAUUUAGACUGUCAUUUACUUAGCAGUUUCUGCAACUUUGCUGCUUCUAUCUGACUAGCGGUGUAAGGUGGCAUGUAUGUUGGCCAUCAGAACUUUCUUUUCAAGUUAGGACUUCUAUUGGAGCAUAUAUUUUACUGACAUGAGUGGUCAAUGUCAUUGGAUACACCUUUCAGGACUGGGAUAUACUCGAUUUGGGAGAACAUGGGCUUCUUGCUUCUCUUUCUAUCAAUUUACCAGCACAUAGAUCCCCCACUUCCCGUCAGAGCAAAGUGGCAUACCGAAGCUAAAGAAGAAAAAAUUAUAAGGACCAUGGAUAAAGUUAACACCAUCUUUUGUACCCAAUUUUUUUUGUUAUGUGGUACCCAUGUUAUUAUAUAUUGUGAUGUGGCACUAUGUCUAAAAAGACCAAAUUGUGACCACUAAUUUUUGUUAUGUUAUGAGAUUAUAAUUUAAUAUGUAUUUAUAUCA
This is a long non-coding RNA of Triticum dicoccoides, 3414 nucleotides long. RefSeq lists it as uncharacterized. NCBI's taxonomy places the organism in Eukaryota, Viridiplantae, Streptophyta, Magnoliopsida, Poales, Poaceae. The transcript is spliced from 9 exons. The record is from RefSeq and is a predicted model, not a curated record.